AUCUCUUUCCACCGAGCCACGCCUCGGAAAUUAGCUAGGUCAUCCAAGAUGGCGAUUUGCGGAAGAAAUUCUGCAGAAGUCAUCUUCUCAAUAAUUUUUGAAGGAGUAAUACGCAAAGAUAUACCAGACUAAAUGAAGGCAAAAGCAAUUCCAAUAGUUCAGAAGUAUUGCAGAGGAUCAGAAUUGAACGAUAUCUGGAUUGUAAUUACGUCCAAAGAAGAUAUAUGGAUUUCAACUAAGCUUAAUACGAUCAUUAAACAUUUGACAUCCAAAAUGAAACGCUCUUCCAUUGGUACAUCCUGUUUUUCCUCAAAUCCGACGAUUCGUUCUACUUGGAUAGUAGAAAUGUCGGAACGUCAACGAGCGUAGGAAAUGGAAACGUUUACCUCUUCAGUCUUAUAUUUCAAUGAGAUUUUAUCAUGGCGACUAGAAUAUUUCUAUAGUGGAACAUUAUUCGAGCAUAUUGAAGCAGAAGAGUGUUUCAAGAGGCAGUUGAAAAUUCUAACAAAGGAAGGAACAUCGUUAGCUAUUGUUCAUGUAUGCAUUAUGUGAUUGUGA
Molecule: long non-coding RNA, 558 nt
Organism: Vespula vulgaris
Lineage: Eukaryota; Metazoa; Arthropoda; Insecta; Hymenoptera; Vespidae
Exons: 3
Source: RefSeq, a predicted model, not a curated record